UGCAAGUCGAGCGAUGAAACUACUUCGGUAGUGAAUUAGCGGCGAACGGGUGAGGAACACGUGACGGAAUCUGGCCUUCUACACUGGGGAUAACUCCGGGAAACCGGGGCUAAUACCGGAUAUGAAACUUGGUGGCGAUCACCGAGUUUGGAAAGUUUUUCGGUAGAAGAUGACCCUCGCGGCCUAUCAGCUUGUUGGGUGAGGUAAUGGCUCACCAAGGCGACGACGGGUAGCCGGCCUGAGAGGGCGACCGGCCACACUGGGACUGAGACACGACCCAGACUCC
Molecule: ribosomal RNA, 286 nt
Filed under: unidentified marine bacterioplankton
Lineage: Bacteria
Description: partial 16S ribosomal RNA
Rfam family: Bacterial small subunit ribosomal RNA
Source: RNAcentral